GACGAACGCUGGCGGCGUGCUUAACACAUGCAAGUCGAACGGUAAGGCCCUUCGGGGUACACGAUUGGCGAACGGGUGAGUAACACGUGGGCGAUCUGCCCUGCACUUGGGGAUAAGCCUGGGAAACUGGGUCUAAUACCGGAUAGGACCACUGCCUGCAUGGGUGGUGGUGGAAAGCUUUUGCGGUGUGGGAUGGGCCCGCGGCCUAUCAGCUUGUUGGUGGGGUGAGUGCCUGCAAAGGCGACGACGGGUAGCCGGCCUGAGAGGGUGACCGGCCACACUGGGACUGAGAUACGGCCCAGACUCCUACGGGAGGCAGCAGUGGGGAAUAUUGCACAAUGGGCGCAAGCCUGAUGCAGCGACGCCGCGUGAGGGAUGACGGCCUUCGGGUUGUAAACCUCUUUCAGCACCGACGAAGCGCAAGUGACGGUAGGUGCAGAAGAAGGACCGGCCAACUACGUGCCAGCCGCCGCCGUAA
This 478-nucleotide ribosomal RNA is filed under the name uncultured bacterium. Its description in RNAcentral is "partial 16S ribosomal RNA". It matches the Rfam family "Bacterial small subunit ribosomal RNA", at positions 28 to 523 of the family's 1533-position model. The record is from RNAcentral.